GGGUUUUUUUGGGGUUUCUUUGGGAUUUCUUUGGAAUUUUUUUGGGAUUUUUUUGGGAUUUUUUUUGAAUUAUUUUUAAAUUUUUUGGGGAUUUUUUGGGGGAUUUUUUGGGAUUUUUUGGGGAUUUUUUUGGGAUUUUUUUUAGAUUUCUUUGGGAUUUUUUGGGAUUUUUUUCAGGAUUUUUUGGAAUUUUUUUGGGGAUUUUUUGGGAUUUUUUGGGGUUUUUUGGGGAUUUUAUUUUGGAUUUUUUUGGGAUUUUUUGGGGGAUUUUUUGAGGAUUUUUUGGGAUUUCUUUGGGAUCUUUUUGGGAUUUUUUUUUUAUUUUUUUUGAAUUUUUGGGGGAUUUUUCGGGGAUUUUUUUGGGGAUUUUUUGAGGAUUUUUUGGGGAUUUUUUUGGGGAUUUUUUGGUGGAUUUUGGGGUGAGGAAAUGAGGAUUUUGGAGUGUGGGGGAGGGGCCAGGUGUGUCCAGGUGUGUCCCCAGGUGUGUCCAGGUGUCCCCAGGUGCGUUCCAGACCAGGUUCCAGAACGUUCUAGAGGUUCUAGACUCGGUUCUAGAUCGGGUUCUAGAUCGGGUUCUAGAACGUUCUAGGUACGUUCCAGAUCAGGUUCUAGAACGUUCUAGAUCGGGUUCUAGGUGUGCUCUAGGUACGUUCUAGAGGUUCUAGAUCACGUUCUAGAACGUUCUAGACUCGGUUCUAGACUCGGUUCUCGAUCGGGUUCCGGACUGUUCCAGAACCGGUUCCAGACUGGGUUCCAGAGCAGGUUCCAGACUGGGUCCCCAGGUGUGUCCAGGUGUGUCCCAGGUGUCCCCAGGUGUGUCCAGGUGUCCCCAGGUGUGUUCAGGUGUUCUCCAGGUGUGUUCAGGUGUGUCCAGGUGUUCUCCAGGUGUAUCUCAGGUGUAUUUUAGGUGUCCCCAGCUGUUCUAGGUGUAUCUCAGGUGUCCCCAGGUGUAUCUCAGGUGUCCCCAGGUGUAUCUCAGGUGUGUCCCCAGCUGUCCCCAGCUGUGUCCCAGGUGUGUCCCCAGCCCCCCCAGGUGUGUCCAGGUGUGUCCAGGUGUCCCCAGGUGUAUCUGAGGUGUCCCCAGGUGUGUCCCCAGGUGUUCCAGGUGUGUCCCCAGCUGUGUCAGGUGUAUCCAGGUGUAUCUCAGGUGUCCCCAGCUGUUCCAGGUGUCCCCAGGUGUGUCCCAGGUGUAUCUCAGGUGUAUCUCAGGUGUAUCCAGGUGUCCCCAGGUGUAUCUCAGGUGUGUCCCCAGCUGUCCCCAGGUGUCCCCAGGUGUCCCCAGGUGUCCCAGGUGUCCCCUGUCCCCGCAGGAAGAUCCAGGAGGAAUCUCUCCGCACGUACCUGUUCACCUACAGCAGCGUCUACGACUCCAUCAGGUGGAUUUGGGCUGAAAAACGGGGA
Long non-coding RNA from Parus major (Great Tit), 1401 nucleotides. NCBI's taxonomy places the organism in Eukaryota, Metazoa, Chordata, Aves, Passeriformes, Paridae. The record is from Ensembl.